Molecule: ribosomal RNA, 253 nt
Filed under: uncultured bacterium
Lineage: Bacteria
Description: partial 16S ribosomal RNA
Rfam family: Bacterial small subunit ribosomal RNA
Source: RNAcentral
UACGGAGGGUGCAAGCGUUAAUCGGAAUUACUGGGCGUAAAGCGCGCGUAGGUGGUUUGUCACGCUGGAUGUGAAAGCCCUGGGCUUAACCUGGGAACGGCAUCCAGAACGGGCAGGCUAGAGUACAGUAGAGGGGUGUGGAAUUUCCUGUGUAGCGGUGAAAUGCGUAGAUAUAGGAAGGAACACCAGUGGCGAAGGCGGCACCCUGGACUGAUACUGACACUGAGGUGCGAAAGCGUGGGGAGCAAACAGG